This is an RNA transcript of Odobenus rosmarus divergens (Pacific walrus), 1093 nucleotides long. It is a transcript of the gene named ADP/ATP translocase 2-like, with no coding region annotated. NCBI's taxonomy places the organism in Eukaryota, Metazoa, Chordata, Mammalia, Carnivora, Odobenidae. The transcript has a single exon. The record is from RefSeq and is a predicted model, not a curated record.
AUGACAGAUACUGCUGUGUCCUUCACCAAGGACUUCCUGGCGAGUGGAGUGGCUGCAGUCAUCUCCAAGACCGUGGUAGCACCCACUGAGUGGGUGAGCUGCUGCUGCAGGUACAGCAUGCCAGCAAGCAAAUCACUGCAGAUAAGCAAUACAAGGGCAUUAUAGACUGCAUGGUUUGUAUCCCCACGGAGCAGCAAGUCCUAUCCUUCUGCCUGGUCACCUGGCCAAUGUCAACAGAUACUUCCCUGCUCAGGCUCUCAACUCUGCCUUCAAAGAUAAAUGCAAGCAGAUCUUCCUGGGUGGUGUGGACAAGAGAACCAGUUUUGGCACUACUUUGCAGGGAAUCUGGCAUCUGGUGGUGUCACUGGGGCCACAUCCUUGUGUUUUGGUGUCCUCUUGAUUUUGCCAUUACCAGGCUAGCAGUGGAUGUGGACGAAGCUGGAGCUGAAAGGGAAUUCAGAGGCCUCAGUGACUACAGAUCUGCAAAUCUGGUGGAAUUAAGGGCCUAUACCAAGUUUAAUGUGUCUGUGCAGGGUAUGCUCAGCCACUGAGCUGCCUACUUCCAUAUGUAUGACACUGCAAAGGGAAUGCUUCCAGAUCCCAAGGACACUCCCAUCUUCAUCAUCAGCAGGAUGAUCGCACAAUCUGUCACAGUGGUUGCUGGGUUGACUUCCUCUCCAUCUGACACUGUUUGUGGCCAUAUGAGAGUUCAGUCAGGGCACAGAGGAACUGACAUCAUGUAUAAGGCAUGCCUGACUGCUGGAGGAAGAUUGCUCGGGAUAAAGGAGCCAAAGCUUUUUCAAGUGUUCAUGGUCCAAUGUUCUCAGGUGCUUUUUGCUUGUCUUAUAUGAUGAAAUCAAGAAGUUCCUGUAGUUAUUUCCUAGUUUUUACCCCUUGUGAACAGGCAUGUUGUAUCAUAUAACAUAUCUUGAACCUUCUUGACAGACUGUUGGCUGUCUGUUUAUCAAUGGCAACUAUUUACUGGCUGAAAAUGGGAAGUGAUAAUAUUCAUCUGACCAGUUUUCUCUUAAAGCCAUUUCCGUGAUGAUGGGACUCAAUUAUAUUUUUUAUUUCAGUCACUCCUGAUAAAUAA